GACAAGAAAUAACAAUACGGGGCUUAAUGUCUUGUAAUUGGAAUGAUGGGAAUUUAAACCUCUUCCAGAGUAUCAAUUGGAGGGCAAGUCUGGUGCCAGCAGCCGCGGUAAUUCCAGCUCCAAUAGCGUAUAUUAAAAUUGUUGCAGUUAAAAAGCUCGUAGUUGAAUUUCUGCUGCAUUGCUUUUGCUCCUUUACGAGUCUUUGCAUUGUGGCUUAUUUCGGACUUUGUUUUACAAUGUCCGGAUGUUUACUUUGAGAAAAUUAGAGUGCUCAAAGCAGGCUUUCGCCUUGAAUAGUUUAGCAUGGAAUAAUAAAGUAGGACUUUGGUUCUAUUUUGUUGGUUUUAGGUACCAAAGUAAUGGUUAAUAGGAACAGUUGGGGGCAUUCGUAUUUA
This 395-nucleotide ribosomal RNA is filed under the name Theileria ovis. RNAcentral describes it as "SSU rRNA". It matches the Rfam family "Eukaryotic small subunit ribosomal RNA", at positions 469 to 900 of the family's 1831-position model. The record is from RNAcentral. Lineage: Eukaryota; Apicomplexa; Aconoidasida; Piroplasmida; Theileriidae.